GACGAACCGUGCGAACGUUCUUCGGAUUCACUGGGCUUAAAGGGCGCGUAGGCGGGCGGUCAAGUCAGGGGUGAAAUCUUUCGGCCUAACCGGAAAAGGGCCUCUGAUACUGGCCGUCUCGAGGGAGGUAGGGGCAUGCGGAACUUCCGGUGGAGCGGUGAAAUGCGUAGAUAUCGGAAGGAACGCCGGUGGCGAAAGCGGCGUGCUGGACCUCUUCUGACGCUGAGGCGCGAAAGCCAGGGGAGCGAACGGG
This 253-nucleotide ribosomal RNA is filed under the name uncultured bacterium. RNAcentral's name for it is "partial 16S ribosomal RNA". It matches the Rfam family "Bacterial small subunit ribosomal RNA", at positions 524 to 776 of the family's 1533-position model. The record is from RNAcentral.